This is a small nuclear RNA of Mus caroli (Ryukyu mouse), 107 nucleotides long. Lineage: Eukaryota; Metazoa; Chordata; Mammalia; Rodentia; Muridae. The record is from RefSeq and is a predicted model, not a curated record.
GUGUUCACUUGGGCAGCACAUAAAGUAAAAUUGCAAUGAUGCAGAGAAAAUUAGAAUGGGCCCUGCAAAAGGAUGACACACAAAUUUGUGAAGUUUUCCAUAAUUUU